UGGUCGUGAGGAGAGGUUUUUACUAGUAAGUCCCCGCUAUUGUGUGGAGGAGACGGAGACACGUGUCGGCUAUAGGCGCUCAAGGCAUAUUGGAGCAAAUGGCCACAACGGGAAAAGAGACAAGGUCGAUUUAGUCUUUUUAAUUUAUUCACUAUUUGUUUUAUGCUAUUUAUGUCACAUGAUAUUGUUAUUCAAAUCAUUGACUGAUACACUGAUUCUCAACCAAAUUAAAAUCAAAAUUUGAUUUGCUUGUUUGUUAA
Molecule: long non-coding RNA, 260 nt
Filed under: Physcomitrium patens
Lineage: Eukaryota; Viridiplantae; Streptophyta; Bryopsida; Funariales; Funariaceae
Description: long non-coding RNA (PPAT_LNC007936)
Source: RNAcentral